ACACACACACACACACACUAAAUAAUACCACAACAGCACUAUGUGGAUACCUCACGAAUUGACAGACCAAUCAUAGUUUUGGUACACAAUGUUGAUGGGGCCACCAUCUCCCAAAAGAUGUGUCAGAAGACCCGCUUUGGUUGCAUCCAAGUAGUUGAUAAUCCACUUGAGAAUGUCUCUCUCUUGUCCAAAAUCUGCGCUGAACCACUUGAUGAUCCGUGUGAGAUAAACUGCCCUCUUUUCCAAGUCCACCUCCAUUCCAGUUCUUUGGAAGAACUCCCUAGCAGCGUAUUUUAAUUCAGCUUCAAUUCCUUGGGCUGUGAAAAACCUUACUGUGGGACUUGACCUUGUCCCAUUGCAGAGCCCAAAAUGAAUUAAUGGAUUCACUUUAGGAAGAGCUAUCUCCAACCGUUUGUCUCCAGCUCCAAGGGGCUUUACCAACGAGUAGGGAGGUCUUCGAUUGUUUCUGAGAAUUCCAUUCUUUAUGGUAUUGAGCGAGUAAGCAGAUCCUCCUACAAUGUAUUGGAAGUCUGAAUUGAAGGAUCUCCGAUCGAUUACCCCUUCAGGGCACCCCAAUCUAAUUACAGCAUGGAUGGCCAUGGCAUUAUACAGGUUCAUAAAGAAGGCCAGUUUCUCAUCUGUUGAGAGUUCUAGUAGAUCCACCCUGUGGAGAUCUUCAGCCAAAUUUACAUAUCUUCUGAAUUCCUCACUUCUGCUAAUGCUAGCGUAAUCAACAUGGCACCUGUCAUCAGAGGCAUAGAACUCAAGUAUUGCAGACAUUAUUUUGUUGAGCUUUUGGCCAACCUUUAUUGCUGACUUGGGUUCACUGUCAUUUGUAGAUCCUCGAAAAUUGUAGCAUUUGGAAAUGAAUGGUUGAUGCUCAAGAAAACGAUAAUAGUGGUUUCCAUCUUCAAAGUCAUUUUCCCCAAAGACGUGAUGGAUGAAAUGCUUCCUUGCAAGCUGCUUGCCAAUCUCAACAGCCUUCUUUCUGCCGCAAUCCAGCUGCUGUAUCAGCACUUCCACCAUCUGAGACCCAGCAAAGCAGUUCUUCACAAUCUUCAUCUUCAUCACACGGUCCUGAAUAGGCAAUCUCUGUCUCAAAACCCUUACGAUCUCCACCAUAUCGUCCAUCGAUUCCUCCUCCGGUUCAUCAAACCCGUACACAGGAGCUGCCGGUGAAUCACCGGAGCAUUUACUCCCUAGCAUCUCCUUCAACCUCUGGUCGAAAAUUCCGCUGUUCCUCAACGAAUUCAACGCCACUAAACCGCCAAAUAGCUUAUCGUUGAAGAAAAUUUGUGGCACCUGUGAACUCCCUGUUCUUUCUAUAAGCUCUUGUGCUCUCUGUGGGAACACAUCGAUGUUAAUCUCGAUGAAUUUCAAUCCUUUCUGCCUAAAAAAUGAUCGUACUGCUGUGCAAUCCCUGCAAUUUGACCUCGAGAAGAAGCUUAUUCGUCCCUUUAAUUCUUCAUCGUUUUUGAGCCUCACUAUGACUUUGAGCCCCGAUAUGUUGAAUUCCGUAACAUCUGAGUCCACAGACUUCAUCUUAUUGUUAGUCUCCUUGUCUUCAUAGUUGUGGCUGUUAUUUCUCAGAGACGAUAAUCGAUUCGCAAUCGACGCCGAUAAGCUGUUGCUUCUUUCUUUAAUGAAUUUCCCGAUUGACGGCAUGUCGACUGUUAAACUUUCCGAUAAGGAUUUUGACCGAUUGAAAACAAGUCCGUCUUCUUUUGGCGUCGGAGAAGGCGCAAGGCCUGGUGGUGCCUCUGGCUUUGGGAGUUGAGACAGAGGUUGGAUUAUUUGUAGAUGAUCAUCGCCUGUAACGGCUAUAUUUUCCUCUUUCAUUACUUGACUGCUUUGGGGCGGGAUAAUUUCAGUAUUAUCCGACAUCUCAGGCAUGUGAGGAGUAUCGGGCGAGAUAAUUUGAAUAUCUUUGGGUAUUUCGGUCGUCGAGUCUUUUUUAUCUGCUAUUUGUCCGUCCUUGAUCUCAAUUUCGGAGCAUUCUUCCGGUUCCCCUUGAUUUUCCGAAUCCAACUUUAUCGGAAUCUCGUCAUCAAUUUUCCCAUUUAUAUGCCGGCCAUCAUCAACUCCAUUCUCCGGAGGGUUCCCUUUGACAGAAUCAUUGGUUUCUCCGUUAGAUAGCUUCAUUCUUUCGAAGGAAAUCAAAUGGGAGAACUCAGAGACACAUGUGAGAGAGAGAGAGAGAGAGA
This 2204-nucleotide unclassified non-coding RNA is filed under the name Hevea brasiliensis (rubber tree). Lineage: Eukaryota; Viridiplantae; Streptophyta; Magnoliopsida; Malpighiales; Euphorbiaceae. The record is from RNAcentral.